AUUUCUCAAACCUUCUUGGUUUCUCGAUCAAGAAGGCUUUGGACUUUGGAGGUCUUUGCCGGCUUUGUGAAAAGUCGGCUCCUCUUAAAUGCAUUAGUGGGGUCCCCUUUGCCGAUCUCUAGGCGUUGAUAAUACACUUCUACGUCUUGGGAUUUGCUCUGUUCUUUGGGAACCUGCUUCUAACCGUCUCCGUCGGAGACAUCGUUCGAGCUUGCUCGACACACGAA
RNAcentral lists this unclassified non-coding RNA (227 nucleotides) under uncultured Russula. Its description in RNAcentral is "sequence contains ITS2". Lineage: Eukaryota; Fungi; Basidiomycota; Agaricomycetes; Russulales; Russulaceae. The record is from RNAcentral.